RNAcentral lists this ribosomal RNA (338 nucleotides) under uncultured Smithella sp. Its description in RNAcentral is "bacterial SSU rRNA". It matches the Rfam family "Bacterial small subunit ribosomal RNA", at positions 1046 to 1382 of the family's 1533-position model. The record is from RNAcentral. Lineage: Bacteria; Pseudomonadati; Thermodesulfobacteriota; Syntrophia; Syntrophales; Smithellaceae.
UGGUUGUCGUCAGCUCGUGUCGUGAGAUGUUGGGUUAAGUCCCGCAACGAGCCGCAACCCUCGACCUUAGUUGCCAGCAUUCAGUUGGGCACUCUAAGGUGACUGCCGGCUAAAAGUCGGAGGAAGGUGGGGAUGACGUCAAGUCCUCAUGGCCUUUAUGCUUAGGGCUACACACGUGCUACAAUGGGUGGUACAAAGAGAAGCCAACUCGCGAGAGCGCGCCAAUCUCAAAAAGCCAUCCUCAGUUCGGAUUGGAGUCUGCAACUCGACUCCAUGAAGUUGGAAUCGCUAGUAAUCGCGCAUCAGCAUGGCGCCGAUCGAAUACGUUCCCGGGCCUU